This 57-nucleotide transfer RNA is filed under the name Ovis aries (sheep). It matches the Rfam family "tRNA", at positions 9 to 63 of the family's 71-position model. Rfam says of the family: Transfer RNA (tRNA) molecules are approximately 80 nucleotides in length. The record is from Rfam by way of RNAcentral. Lineage: Eukaryota; Metazoa; Chordata; Mammalia; Artiodactyla; Bovidae.
AGUCCAGUGGUUAGGACACCAUGCUCUCAACGCUGAGGACCCAGGUUCAAUUCCUGG